Podarcis lilfordi (Lilford's wall lizard) is the source of this 74-nucleotide non-coding RNA. Lineage: Eukaryota; Metazoa; Chordata; Lepidosauria; Squamata; Lacertidae. The record is from the annotation of a GenBank genome assembly.
GCCUGGAUAGCUCAGUUGCUUAGAGCGUGGUACUGACAAUGCCAAGGUUGCAGGUUCGAUCCCUUAAUGGGGCA